RNAcentral lists this ribosomal RNA (423 nucleotides) under uncultured bacterium. Its description in RNAcentral is "bacterial SSU rRNA". It matches the Rfam family "Bacterial small subunit ribosomal RNA", at positions 29 to 507 of the family's 1533-position model. The record is from RNAcentral.
AACGAACGCUGGCGGCAGGCCUAACACAUGCAAGUCGAACGAUAUAGUGGCAGACGGGUGAGUAACGCGUGGGAACGUACCUUUCACUACGGAAUAGCUCUGGGAAACUGGUGGUAAUACCGUAUACGCCCUUAGGGGGAAAGAUUUAUCGGUGAAAGAUCGGCCCGCGUUGGAUUAGCUAGUUGGUGAGGUAAUGGCUCACAAAGGCGACGAUCCAUAGCUGGUCUGAGAGGAUGAUCAGCCACACUGGGACUGAGACACGGCCCAGACUCCUACGGGAGGCAGCAGUGGGGAAUCUUGCACAAUGGGCGAAAGCCUGAUGCAGCCAUGCCGCGUGAAUGAUGAAGGCCUUAGGGUUGUAAAAUUCUUUCGUCAGGGAUGAUAAUGACCGUACCUGAAGAAGAAGCCCCGGCUAACUUCGUG